AAGAGGGAAACAACCCAGACCAACAGCUAAGGCCCCCAAUUCGUGGCUAAGUGGGAAAGGAUGUGGGAAUCCCAAAACAACCAGGAGGUUGGCUUAGAAGCAGCCAUCCUUUAAAGAAAGCGUAACAGCUCACUGGUCUAAACAAGGGGUUCUGCGCCGAAGAUGUACCGGGGCUCAAGCCACGAGCCGAAGCUUUGGGUUUGGCGAU
RNAcentral lists this ribosomal RNA (208 nucleotides) under Pavlova sp. CCMP459. RNAcentral's name for it is "partial Bacterial large subunit ribosomal RNA". It matches the Rfam family "Bacterial large subunit ribosomal RNA", at positions 1013 to 1215 of the family's 2925-position model. The record is from RNAcentral. Lineage: Eukaryota; Haptophyta; Pavlovophyceae; Pavlovales; Pavlovaceae.